This 1237-nucleotide long non-coding RNA is filed under the name Carica papaya (papaya). RNAcentral describes it as "long non-coding RNA (CPAP_LNC012746)". The record is from RNAcentral. Lineage: Eukaryota; Viridiplantae; Streptophyta; Magnoliopsida; Brassicales; Caricaceae.
AUGGACCAUCAACAAUAAUUAUUUUCUUAUUAUUGAGACAUGGGACAAAGGUGUUGAAAUAUUUAAAGGACUUAGUUAUGUGAUUUAUGACUCUUAAUUCUACAAUCCGUGGUAGUGCAAAAGGCUUACUUGAGGCAUUUAAUCCAUAUGAGAUAGAAAAUAUACCUGAAUGUACUAAAAGUCUAUACCUUUAGGUUUCUCCAAAGAACGAAGUCGAAUCCUCAGACGCUCAAUUUCUGCCUUGAAGUCACUGAGAUUGCAGUCUGCUCUUUCCAUUGUUGGUUGGCCACAUCUGUUUGUCCUUGAGACUUUGGAGAAUUAUUCUUGUACCCCUCAACCUUUACUGGAGGUGGUAUACUUCCCAUGAAAUUUUCAACAUUUCCCCUUGGUCUAUCUUGGUUUCUUGCAGAAAGUACACUAAAGAUUGUCCCUCCACCAGCUGUUGAUGUAUCACUAUGACUCGGCUCCUUCAUCUUUUAGUGUGGUUUUAAGCCUUUGGUUGUUAUCUUGUACUUUAAGCGAUGCGAGGUUCCAGCCUAAUCCCCCGCCUGCUCUCUUCUGCAACCACAAGGGAUAUCACUUCAUUCUGUGAUGGCAUUUCAUCUUUUCCAAGGAUCUGAACUCUUGCCUUCAUAUUUUUUUAUUAAGACCCACCAUGAAUUUGUAUGCUCUAUCUUUCUACACAAAAUUUCUUCAGUGUGGCUAAAUCUUGCUGUAAUCCAUAGUGAUGCAAUUAUAUUGGUAUGGUUCUUGCCACCAGUUUUUCAGGAGACUAAGGUAUUCCUUCAUUGAUAUGUUUCCUUACUUCGCAGACCAAGUCUUGAUUGUUAAAUCAUAAUUUGAGCUAUGUCUUUAAUUUUUGAGUAUGUUUCCUUGAUGGCUUUCCAAAUCUCUCUUGUGUCGGAUAAGAAUAACUAGGUACCACUGAUUUUUGGGAGCAUUAAGUUCUAGAGCUAUGCCAUUAUCAUUGAGUCCUCUUCAUCCUAAGCAUCACAUUGCGGGUCCUCCAAUUUUGGUCUGGUGUGCAGAAUGUGGUUAAGUUUUUCUUUUCCUUCUAGGAUUGUAUGGAUCAAUAGCGACCACUUCAAGUAAUUCUCCCCAUUCAGCGAUAGGCGUCCUGAAUUAGUUGGAAAUUCUCUAGUUGACUGUUGUGAAUUUACCAUGUUAGGUUUGCACCGAUUUCUCGGGAUGUGACCUUUGAGAUGAUAAAAAUGUCUAGGCAAUUAAGACUAGUUUC